Molecule: ribosomal RNA, 584 nt
Filed under: uncultured bacterium
Lineage: Bacteria
Description: partial 16S ribosomal RNA
Rfam family: Bacterial small subunit ribosomal RNA
Source: RNAcentral
UGGGGAAUUUUGGACAAUGGGCGAAAGCCUGAUCCAGCAAUGCCGCGUGUGUGAAGAAGGCCUUCGGGUUGUAAAGCACUUUUGUCCGGAAAGAAAUCCUUGGCUCUAAUACAGUCGGGGGAUGACGGUACCGGAAGAAUAAGCACCGGCUAACUACGUGCCAGCAGCCGCGGUAAUACGUAGGGUGCAAGCGUUAAUCGGAAUUACUGGGCGUAAAGCGUGCGCAGGCGGUUUGCUAAGACCGAUGUGAAAUCCCCGGGCUCAACCUGGGAACUGCAUUGGUGACUGGCAGGCUAGAGUAUGGCAGAGGGGGGUAGAAUUCCACGUGUAGCAGUGAAAUGCGUAGAGAUGUGGAGGAAUACCGAUGGCGAAGGCAGCCCCCUGGGCCAAUACUGACGCUCAUGCACGAAAGCGUGGGGAGCAAACAGGAUUAGAUACCCUGGUAGUCCACGCCCUAAACGAUGUCAACUAGUUGUUGGGGAUUCAUUCCUUAGUAACGUAGCUAACGCGUGAAGUUGACCGCCUGGGGAGUACGGUCGCAAGAUUAAAACUUAAAGGAAUUGACGGGGUCAUAGCUGUUUCCU